GACGAACGCUGGCGGCGUGCUUAACACAUGCAAGUCGAACGGAAAGGCCCUGCUUUUGUGGGGUGCUCGAGUGGCGAACGGGUGAGUAACACGUGAGUAACCUGCCCUUGACUUUGGGAUAACUUCAGGAAACUGGGGCUAAUACCGGAUAGGAGCUCCUGCUGCAUGGUGGGGGUUGGAAAGUUUCGGCGGUUGGGGAUGGACUCGCGGCUUAUCAGCUUGUUGGUGGGGUAGUGGCUUACCAAGGCUUUGACGGGUAGCCGGCCUGAGAGGGUGACCGGCCAAAUUGGGACUGAGAUACGGCCCAGACUCCUACGGGAGGCAGCAGUGGGGAAUAUUGCACAAUGGGCGGAAGCCUGAUGCAGCAACGCCGCGGGCGGGAUGACGGCCUUCGGGGUGGAAACCGCUUUCGCCUGUGACGAAGCGUGAGUGGCGGUAAUGGGUAAAGAAGCACCGGCUAACUACGUU
RNAcentral lists this ribosomal RNA (468 nucleotides) under uncultured bacterium. Its description in RNAcentral is "partial 16S ribosomal RNA". It matches the Rfam family "Bacterial small subunit ribosomal RNA", at positions 28 to 507 of the family's 1533-position model. The record is from RNAcentral.